GCCUCUAUGGUGGAAUUGGUAGACACAAAGGACUUAAAAUCCUUCGGAGUAAAACCCGUACCGGUUCAAAUCCGGUUAGAGGUA
Molecule: transfer RNA, 84 nt
Filed under: Caudoviricetes sp.
Lineage: Duplodnaviria; Heunggongvirae; Uroviricota; Caudoviricetes
Description: tRNA-Leu
Rfam family: tRNA
About the family: Transfer RNA (tRNA) molecules are approximately 80 nucleotides in length. Their secondary structure includes four short double-helical elements and three loops (D, anti-codon, and T loops).
Source: RNAcentral